UGGCAACAGACCUCCAUGGGUGCCGUGGCAACAAAUGUCAUGGUUGACGUGGCAAUUGAUGCCACAGGUGUCAUGGUAAUAAAUCUCCAUGGGUGCCAUGGCAACAGAUGCCACGGGUGUGAUAGGUGCCAUGGCAACUGAUGCCAUAGCAACAGACACCCUAAGUACCAUGGCUACAGACUCCAUGGCAGUGGCAUUGAAUGGAGUAGGAGAACCUGUGCAAGCUGCGAAGGUGACGUUUCAUGUGGAGUUCUGGAGCCCCGGCCUUUGUCUGGAUCACUUACAGCUGGGGGCAUAUUGUUUUAUUUUGUAUUUAUUGAAAUUUAUUUUUUGUUGUUUUUUUUGUUGGUUUUUUUUUUUACAAAAUAUAGAGAGAAACUCCAAGGGGAUGAAGGGCGGGAAGGUUUGAUCUGGUCAGAGGAAGAUCUCAGGCUUUUCAGUCUCCCGUUGCCUGCAGGAGUGGUGUCUAUCUAUUCUGUUUCCUAACAACACGGAUAUUUGGGGAACACGUUUCUAAGUUACUGAGAAGUAAAUUAUUAAUGACCAGACAGCACUUGGUCCUGCCAUGAGGGCAGGGGACUGGACUCAAUGACCUCUCGGGGUCCCUUCCAGUCCUAUGAGAUAAGAAUAUCUCCAUGGCCCCAAACCUGUGAAAUUCCGAGCUCCUACAUCUGCCAGUGGAGUCAGCCUCAGCCCCACUCAAGAUCAGUCCCUAAAUAUAGAAAUACUGAACAUGGAUUUUUUUUCUCCAAGAAAACAAUUUUAAGAAAUGUAAGUCCUGAUUUUAGGCAAUAGGAUCUCUCCGUGUUCAUUUCAGAUCUGAGUGAUGUGCACAGGUGUGGAUGCUCUGUAGAUCAUAUUCCGUUUUUAUAUUUCACUAUUUAAAUUAGAUUUUUUUAGAUUGCAUUCUAACCUCUAUAUUUUAAAAAGCCUGAUCUUGCAGUUCUCGUGGAGCAAAUACCCCUUAUGAAGGCAAGGAUUUAAGGACUCAAGCUUGGACUCAAAGCGAUUGUUUUUAUUCACAGAUGAGCUGGAAUGGAUAAAAAUAAAAUGGCAGGGUUGGUUCUCUGUGAGCCCACAGAGCUUUACAACAUCUUGAACCAGUCCACGAAGCUCUCCAGGUUAACUGAGCCUAACUAUCUCUGUUUACUGGAUGCCCGUACAAAGCGUGAGUACAAUGAAAGCCAUGUGAUUACAGCAAGAAGAGUUAAACAGAAUCCUGGGGGGGACUAUCUGGUACCUGAAUCAGUUGAGCUGGAGUGUGUCAAAUAUUGUGUCGUAUAUGAUAGCAAAACCAGCUCUUUGGAUGAUAUCUAUUACGAUGAUUAUGAAGAGAAGGAGGAGGAUGAGAAAGGGACUGAAGCUCCCUCAGGGAUCUCAGGAUUUGAAUCCAGUUCUUCAUGUUCACAAAAUGCUGAGGUAGGGGCUGCCAUCCAGUGUGCCAGAGUCUUAGAGCAGUUCACCCGCCACCCAGUCCGCAUCCUGAAAGGAGGGUAUGAGCGCUUCACUGCGUGCUACCAUUUCUUGAGGACUCAGAAGAUAUUCUGGAUGCCUCAGGAACUGGAUGCUUUUGAGCCAUAUCCUGUAGAGAUAUUGCCUGCUCAAUUAUAUAUGGGAGAUUACAGGCAGGCCUGUGACCAACAGAUUCAGAAGGAUCUGAAAAUCAAAGCACAAGUCAACAUUUCAGAGGAGCUUGCAACGCUUUUCACAGAUGAGAGCAAAACACUUCUUCAUGUUUCUGUGGCAGAUUCCCCCGAUGCAGAUCUUUUUUCCUUUUUCCCCACCAUUUGUCACUUCAUAGAUGCUAAGAUGGCUCUUGGAGCAGUUCUGGUUUUCUCUACCCUGGGUCUAAGUCGGAGCAGCACGGCGGUAAUGGCCUUCCUCAUGCAUUCAUCCCAUUAUCCCUUAAAGAUCGCCCGGAAGCCAGGACUACAAACAUGGCUGACUGGAAGGAUUACAUAUCUAAGCAACUCUGCUUUCCUGGAUCUCAGAAAGAGAGAGACUUUCUGAGUCUGGGAGCUACCAUGACCUGACUUUGUCCCUUACUCCUGCGGGACAUAGGAAGUCCAGCCCACCCUGCUUGUGGAACUCUGGCUUUGUGCCCUAAAGCUGAGGUCAGCAGCACAGGUGUCUUUAAAAUCCCAGAUUGCUUCCCCAAGACCACAUCUCGUGAUCCACAGAUAUUGUUCUAGGGAAACCCAGAAUAGGGCUGCACUAGUUUAAGAGGGGUGCACUCUUCAAUCUUAAAGGACUAGCACAUCUCAUUACAUAGCUCCACAAGUCUUCAUAAAAAUAUUGGGUGAAGGCUGAGAAGUACCUAGCUGUAUACUGGAUUGGUUGCUUAUCCCCAAAUUCCAGGAUGUUCCUCAGUUUACUCAGUGUCCCAGCAUUUUGAAAAGAGGGCUUGGAAAUACAUCCAGAAAUGCAAACAAACAUGAGACCAAACCGUGG
RNA transcript from Gopherus evgoodei (Goodes thornscrub tortoise), 2451 nucleotides. It is a transcript of the gene named serine/threonine/tyrosine interacting like 1, with no coding region annotated. NCBI's taxonomy places the organism in Eukaryota, Metazoa, Chordata, Testudines, Testudinidae. The transcript has 11 exons. The record is from RefSeq and is a predicted model, not a curated record.